UGAAUACGAGACGCUAAGGCGUCGAAGUAGUGUAUGUCAUACUUCCAAGAAAAGCUUGCACUGUCAUAGAUAAAAAACGCCUGUACCAUAACCGACACAGGUGGGUAGGUAGAGUAUACUAAGGGGCGCGAGAUAACUCUCUCUAAGGAACUCGGCAAAAUAACUCCGUAACUUCGGGAGAAGGAGUGCCUUAUUCUUAAGGUUGCAAUAACAAGAUCCAAGCAACUGUUUAUCAAAAACACAGGUCUCCGCUAAGUCGUAAGACGAUGUAUGGGGGCUGACGCCUGCCCAGUGCCAGAAGGUUAAAGAAGCUGGUUAGCAUUUGCGAAGCUAGUAACUGAAGCCCUGGUGAACGGCGGCCGUAACUAUAACGGUCCUAAGGUAGCGAAAUUCCUUGUCGGGUAAGUCCCGACCCGCACGAAAGGCGUAAUGAUUUGGAUACUGUCUCGGAGAGGGGCUCGGUGAAAUAGACUUGUCUGUGAAGAUGCGGACUACCUGCACCAGGACAGAAAGACCCUAUGAAGCUUUACUGUAACUUGAAAUUGAAAUUGGACUUUAUUCGCGCAGUAUAGGUGGGAGGCGUUGAUUAUAAUCUUGCGGGAUUAUUGGAGCCAUUAGUGAGAUACCACUCUUGUAAUGUUAGAUUUCUAACUUUGAAUCAUUAUCUGGUCAAAGAACAGUUUCAGGCGGGCAGUUUGACUGGGGCGGUCGCCUCCUAAACGGUAACGGAGGCGUACAAAGGUUUCCUCUGAACGGUUAGAAAUCGUAUCUAGAGUGUAAAGGCAUAAGGAAGCUUGACUGUGAGACCUACAAGUCGAGCAGGGACGAAAGUCGGUCUUAGUGAUCUGACGGUACUGAGUGGAAAGGCCGUCACUCAACGGAUAAAAGUUACUCUAGGAUAACAGGCUGAUCUCCCCCAAGAGUUCACAUCGACGGGGAGGUUUGGCACCUCGAUGUCGGCUCAUCGCUCCUGGGGCGGUAGUACGUCCCAAGGGUUGGGCUGUUCGCCCAUGAAAGCGGUACGCGAGCUGGGUUCAGAACGUCGUGAGACAGUUCGGUCCAUAUCCGGUGUAGGCGUUAGAAUAUUGAGAGGAGCCUUCUUUAGUACGAGAGGACCGAGAAGGACAUACCUCUGGUGUACCAGUUAUCGUGCCAACGGUAAACGCUGGGUAGCUAUGUAUGGAGUGGAUAACCGCUGAAAGCAUCUAAGUGGGAAGCCCACCUCAAGAUAAGUAUUCCC
Molecule: ribosomal RNA, 1240 nt
Filed under: metagenome
Description: bacterial LSU rRNA
Rfam family: Bacterial large subunit ribosomal RNA
Source: RNAcentral